AGCAGCCGCGGUAAUUCCAGCUCCAAUAGCGUAUAUUAAAGUUGUUGCAGUUAAAAAGCUCGUAGUUGAAUUUCGGGAUCAAUACGUCGGUCGUGCUUCGGUACGUACUGGCGUAAUUGAUUUCUCCCUUCUGAAGAACCGCGAUGUCAUUAAUUUGGUGUCGUGGGGAAUCAGGACUGUUACUUUGAAAAAAUUAGAGUGUUUAAAGCAGGCGCACGCUUGAAUACAUUAGCAUGGAAUAAUGAAAUAGGACGUUUGAUUCUAUUUUGUUGGUUUCUAGGAUCGACGUAAUGAUUAAUAGGGAUAGUUGGGGGCAUUAGUAUUCAAUUGUCAGAGGUGAAAUUCUUGGAUUUUUAAA
RNAcentral lists this ribosomal RNA (358 nucleotides) under uncultured Glomus. Its description in RNAcentral is "SSU rRNA". It matches the Rfam family "Eukaryotic small subunit ribosomal RNA", at positions 569 to 932 of the family's 1831-position model. The record is from RNAcentral. Lineage: Eukaryota; Fungi; Glomeromycota; Glomeromycetes; Glomerales; Glomeraceae.